GAUGAUGUGCCUGAUAAAAGGAUUACUGUGAUAGAGUAAAUUAUGUAACACCAAUUACCUUCCUCA
This 66-nucleotide transfer RNA is filed under the name Chloracris brunneri. RNAcentral's name for it is "tRNA-Ile". Lineage: Eukaryota; Metazoa; Arthropoda; Insecta; Orthoptera; Tettigoniidae. The record is from RNAcentral.